CGCGCCCUGCGGGGUUCGUGAUAGAUCUUUUUUUAACCCACAUUUCGUUAUAAGGGAUGCCAGAUCAAUGCGUGGUUUGCAGGCCUCCCGGCUGCCGUUCGCGGCUGGAAGUUGGAAGCAAUAAAGCGUGUUGGAGGCAACCCACCUGUCCUAAGAAGGUGCAGGUUAUAACGGGUCUACACGGCUCAUGCGGGGCGCGU
Molecule: non-coding RNA, 200 nt
Filed under: Oscillibacter sp.
Lineage: Bacteria; Bacillati; Bacillota; Clostridia; Eubacteriales; Oscillospiraceae
Description: 6S RNA
Rfam family: 6S / SsrS RNA
About the family: E. coli 6S RNA was the first non coding RNA to be sequenced, but its function was unknown until recently. It consists of 184 nucleotides that fold into an extended hairpin structure with a large single-stranded internal bulge.
Source: RNAcentral